RNAcentral lists this ribosomal RNA (501 nucleotides) under uncultured archaeon. Its description in RNAcentral is "bacterial SSU rRNA". It matches the Rfam family "Archaeal small subunit ribosomal RNA", at positions 1 to 477 of the family's 1478-position model. The record is from RNAcentral.
UUCCGGUUGAUCCCGCCGGACCCUACUGCUAUUGGGGUGGGACUAAGACAUGCAAGUUGUGCGUCUCUAAGCUAUGGUAGAGACGCGGCGUACGGCUCAGUAACACGUGGCUAACCUACCCUUAGGACGGGGACAACCCCGGGAAACUGGGGCUAACAUCUGAUAGGUGAGGAGGCCUGGAAUGGUUCCUCCCUGAAAAGGCGUUGAAACCAUGCUUUUCAGCGUCGCCUAAGGAUGGGGCCGCGCCCGAUCAGGUUGUUGGUGGGGUAACGGCUCACCAAGCCAUUAACCGGUACGGGCCGUGAGAGCGGGAGCCCGGAGAUGGGCACUGAGACAAGGGCCCAGGCCCUACGGGGCGCAGCAGUCGCGAAAACUCCGCAAUGCGCGAAAGCGUGACGGGGCUACCCCGAGUGCCGUCCGCUGAGGAUGACUUUUCCCCGGUGUAAUGAGCCGAGGGAAUAAGGAGAGGGCAAGACUGGUGUCAGCCGCCGCGGUAACACC